This is a long non-coding RNA of Bos indicus x Bos taurus (hybrid cattle), 1400 nucleotides long. The record is from Ensembl. NCBI's taxonomy places the organism in Eukaryota, Metazoa, Chordata, Mammalia, Artiodactyla, Bovidae.
AUUAAAUGCAAACUUAGAGAUGUGAGUCACCUGUGCUCUGCUCUACUGAGGAGUUUAAAGGGACUAGGAAAUCUGGACAACCUGAUGUUCAAAAUGAGAACUCAAGAUCACCAGACUGGCUACUCUAGACAUCUGUAGCCCCAAACCUGAGUUCCUGGAAUUUAUGAAACCUGACAGAGAAUGCAAAGAGUGACACUGGACCAAUUUCCAUUUCUCUUCCCCAUUACCACUUUACACUGUCUUCACAGUUUCCUUUAUGAAAUAUAAAGAUGAUAAUGGACACCUGGCUCCAAAGACUCUGAGCGCCUCCCAUUUCCUAGAUGAAAGCUAAGAUCUUCAGCAUGGAGUGUAAGAUGAUCUUAGCUCCCUAGCCUGCCCCAGACAUGGAUCCUGCUCUCACCUGUUAAAUCUCAGAGCUUCCCAGAAGAUUGCAUCUCAUGAGCCCUGAAACAAGUUCCUCCAGUCCUUCCACCCAGAUUCCUGGGCAAGUCUCCAUGAUGCUUCCUCUAUAGCUUCUGAUGUCUGUCUGAGAAGUAUUGACCUCCCUAAGACCCCAGCUUGUAUCAGCUUGUAUCACAGCUCACCAUGGUCUUGUUCGAAGACUGCCUCCUGGUUCACAUUGCCUCCUCUCUGUAGAAAGGAGCACGGAAACAGCCCUGCAUCAACCUCACUUCCUAAUGCAUCCAGACCAGACCCUUGCGCUGUUGAAUGAAUAGAAGAACCAUUGAAUGGAUUCACCUUUACCCUAAAGACAGAAUGCCAUCAACCUCCUGUCAUGGUGCGUCAGGAAAGGGUAAGCUGUGAAGGAUGCACUCAUCAUCCAGGAGCCCGUGUGCUGCUGGCACUUUCUUUCAGCUUCAAGAACCCCUGCUCUUUGGGCUGGAAGGUGCCCAGGAGCUGGAGGAACCUCCUAAGGGACAGGAAACAGGGAAGGAACUGGGCAGAGAGGCCCAAGCUGAUCGGAGCCAAGGCUGACCAGUGAGGAAUUGGUUCCAAUUUCUCUGUUUCUGUUUUUGACCUAGUAGACAAAGUGUAAAUACCCAAAGCAAAGCUCAGCUGGGAAAGAAUCUUCCUGCAAUGCAGGAGACCCUGGUUCAAUUCCUGGGUCAGGAAGUUCCCCUAGAGAAGGGAUAGAAUACCCACUCCAGUAUGUCUGGGCUUCCCUGGUAGCUCAGACAGUAAAGAAUCUGCCUGCAAUGUGGGAGACCUGGGUUCAAGGGUUGGGAAGAUCCCCUGGAGGAGGGUGUGGCAACCCACUCCAGUAUUCUUGCCUGGAGAAUCCCCAUGGACCAGAGGAGCCUGGAAGGCUACAGUCCAAGGGGUUGCAAAGACCCAGACAUGAUGAGUGUCUAAGCACACAGACAAAGUAUAAAUAAAUACCCCAAGCAAACAUAUGAACA